CCUACGGGAGGCAGCAGUAGGGAAUAUUGGUCAAUGGGCGAAAGCCUGAACCAGCAACGCCGCGUGCGCGAUGAAGGCCUUCGGGUCGUAAAGCGCUUUUGGGAGGGAUGAAAAUGACAGUACCUCCCGAAUAAGGAUCGGCUAACUACGUGCCAGCAGCCGCGGUAAGACGUAGGAUCCAAGCGUUAUCCGGAAUUACUGGGCGUAAAGGGCGUGUAGGAGGUUGGGCAAGUCGGCCAUGAAAGCUCCCGGCUCAACUGGGAGAGGCUGGUCGAUACUGCCUGGCUAGAGGGCAAGAGAGGGAGGUGGAAUUCCCGGUGUAGUGGUGAAAUGCGUAGAUAUCGGGAGGAACACCAGUGGCGAAGGCGGCCUCCUGGCUUGUACCUGACUCUGAAACGCGAAAGCAUGGGUAGCAAACAGGAUUAGAAACCCUGGUAGUCCAUGCCAUAAACGAUGUCAACUGGGUGUCGGCGAAGUAAAAUUUGUCGGUGCCGAAGCUAACGCGUUAAGUUGACCGCCUGAGGACUACGAUCGCAAGAUUAAAACUAGAAAGUAUAGACGNAGAGAGCGACGAGCACAGGAGGUAGAG
RNAcentral lists this ribosomal RNA (589 nucleotides) under uncultured bacterium. RNAcentral's name for it is "bacterial SSU rRNA". It matches the Rfam family "Bacterial small subunit ribosomal RNA", at positions 338 to 943 of the family's 1533-position model. The record is from RNAcentral.